Molecule: RNA transcript, 5044 nt
Organism: Vigna angularis (adzuki bean)
Lineage: Eukaryota; Viridiplantae; Streptophyta; Magnoliopsida; Fabales; Fabaceae
Exons: 9
Source: RefSeq, a predicted model, not a curated record
GGAGUUCAUUUGCCACUUGUCUCUUUGUGUGAUGGCCCACAGGCCCAGAUGGUCUUCUUCCACCUCUCUCUUUUUCUGCUUUUUCUUUUGCCUUUUUCUCACCAUUCCUCAGACUUAUGAGCACAUAUGUUACAUGAUAUUGCACAAUCAUGAUAAUGUGGUUUUGUCACUUUUUGGAAUGUGUCCCAUACGCUAUAGUCUUCCCACUUACCAUCUUCUGUAUUGGAUGCUCACUGUGGGGUCUCAAAAGUGAGAGAGUAAAGCUUGGAGAGUGACUCAAAACCAACCAAAAUCAAAAACCAUAGCAUAAUAAUAACAGUAAUAAUGGUGUUGAUAAUGGCCACUUUGGUGGGGAUCUUGAUGGAAUUGAUAAGAUAAGAUACACGAAUGUGUGUCACUGCCACUACGGCUCAAUCAUUGUAACGAACAAAGGAGGAAGCAGUGAAAAACUUUCCUUUGGGUGAAACACCUUUCAAGGAACUCUCUUCAAACAAAGGUUUUGGUAUUUAACCAUCAUGGUUUGGAUGGUAAAGCAAUAUAGGGUUUUGUUCACUUUGAUACACAGUUCUAUGAACCUGGGAUAAAGGAGUGAUUACAUAUCAGCUUGUGUUCUGGGAUUAUGUAAGGUAAGAUGCUGUGGUUUUUCAUUUGGCAGGUUUGGCUUUGUUGCUAAUUUUCUGUUUUAGUAAAAUCCAUCAAGACAAUGAAUUGAAGAAUGAUAUUCAUGCACUGGUUUGGUGCUAGUUUCUUGAUCUAAUCAAUAGAUUGGCUGCAUUUAUCGUAUGCUAUUACACAAACAUAGACAUGAGGAUUCAAUAACUCUUCACCAAAUGCUUAAAUUUCCAACCAUGUUACAUUAUAUUGGUUCACUGGUUAGGUGUAUAAUUUCUGUUGUUUGAAAGCCUUAAUCUGCUGAAUAGACAAUGUCAGAAGUUUUCCAACACUCCAAAGUCUGAUAGAUUCUGUUGUGCUGUGUUGUGUCUCUUCAGUCUUUGUACUGUUGUUGAGGUUAGGUUUUUGUUUUGUUGAAUAUUGAAUAUGCACUCAAGGUUGUAAUGGGUACGUCAAAAUGACUUCAUAUUUGUUUCUUUCCCAUUUUAUUUAGCAAAUUAGUCGAUCCAAAACUUUAAUUUCUGAAGUCCAUGCACCUUUUCAAAUUCAAAUGUCUACUUCAUCGAAUUUGUCGAACAAAUAAUCAUUAACAGCUUUGCUUAAAGUCCAAUUUCAAUUUGUAAAUAAAGUCAGCAUUCAGCAAAGUUUUAUUCUCUAUGUUCACAUUACUUUAUUCUAUGAGCAUUUCAAAAUCCCUCCAAACACGAUCAACCUGGUACAUAGUUUGUUUGACUGUGCAUGAUAUUUUCUGGUGCAUCUGAAAGAACACUGCAAUGAACUUUGACCACUGAGUCAAGUCAGAAACCAUCAGCUUCCUAUGAAGCACUGUUGGUCUGACUACUAUUUGUUGCUUUGGCUUUAAACUUCAAAUUGAAAUUAGUUCUGGAAAAAUUGAACAUAAUCCAAACAGGAACUGGAAAAAAGCAUGAAAAUUUUCAUCUGGGGUUGAUUCUCAAAUAUUACUGUAUAAAUGAAAAACAAAGGACAGUGUGUGACCAGUGUACUUUUCUAAAAGGGAGAGUUGCAGGUAUCAUAUAGAGGGACAGUAGUCUGCAGGCUGUUUUUUGUAGGCACCUGCUCAGAAUCACGCAAAAGAGUUGCACGGAUCUUUUUCAUUGUUGACGUGAAAGAAAUGUACCUCACAAUGUACUGAUCCUCAUAUAAAAAGGGUGAAACACUGAUUCCAAGUGAAAAUGGAGGGAAGUACCAGUUAAUGGUGGGUGCAUAUAACUUUUGGAGUGAAGGUGAAAAUGUGACUAAAAAAUAUCACAUUGAAUGAAGAUGAACAUAUUGAGCAAUUUAUAAAUAGCUUAGAUUCAUACUUCAAAUGUGUUUGGUUAAGCAGCUAUAUGGAAUUUACCUUCUCUUAGACAUACAGUAAUCACCAAAUUGUGAAAUUGUUUUUAAUCUUGUUUGCUGUUUUCAAAGAUUUUACAGGGAACAGAUAAAAACUUAAUGUCUUGUGGUUUUAAGGAAUGAUAUUUUGACAAUUUCCAGUUUAGGUACUUCACAAUCUUACUAUAAUAAUAGUAAGAUAUGUGUCAGGAAAAUAGUCUUUAAACUUUAUUAUUAUAUUAAUGUAAGAGGGUGGUUGUUAAUUGAUUGAACAUGGAAAAGAAAUUUUCACAGCAUCAUUUUCAUAUGGUUUCUGUCAAGGUUUUGAAUGCAUUAUAUGUACUUAAGUGAGAUGAGAAGACCAGUGUAUAAGUGACAAUGGAACUCAUGAAUAGUUUGUUAUUCAAAACUUUCUUUUUCCUUGUUCUCAAUCACAUCAUCAAUCUUAAUUUUUUCUUCUCUUUUGUCUCUUUUUAUCACAUAUUUAUAUAGGAAAGUUGGAUCAUUUUGUUGAUUUGGAAUCACUGAUGGUGAUAAUAAAUCUACCUCUACAUACUGAUGUAGUAAAACUUUUUAGUUAACCCAAAAGUCAAUGCAAAAACAGGUUUUGUCAUGGGAUGAUGCAACUGGAGUUGUUCACUUAUACUGUAUUUUCAGUGUUGACAGGUUCAGAACUUCUGGAUGUAGCUUUUUGAAAACCUGUACUGUAACAGUAUGGAACUGUAGUACCUAAUAGCUUAUAGGAAAUUUCUUCCUAAAAUGUGUUUCUGAAUUUGAUUUAACCUGGAUUGGUUCACUAUGUGUAGUUGAUAAAUGAAGUAAACCAGUGGAACAUGAAUAGAACCUUUUGGUUGAAAAAAAGAAGAGAUACUCUGCAGAGAUUUUGCCUAAUAACUAAAAAUUCUCAAAAUUUGAUUACAUGAGUAAAACCUUUUAGUGCAUGCUUCAGUUAAAUCUGAAGGCAGCAAAAUAUGUAAAUAACAGAAGUCACAGAGAAUAAUAUGUGAAUAACUGAUUUUAGAAAAAUCAUUGUUUCUGAAUUAUCAUAAUUAUAAAUAAUACUUAGCAGAAAAAUAUAAUACUGGUUUGGAAUUCAGAAACUUUGAAGGGAAUAGAAACUAAUCAGUAAUUAGUGGUGGUAGGUAAGUUUAUUACCAUGGUUUUCAGGCCUCAGUAUUUGUAAUCAUGUCACCGACCACAAAGACCAGAGAACAGUGGUGUUGGCAGCAAAAGUCACUUUCAAUUAGUGCUAAAUCCCAAGGUUGAUGUGCAGAAAAAGACUUCUCUAGAGAUGGAUAACUAGACAAAUCUAAAGCAUCUCAUCAAGUUUCAAUGUCAUCCUCCUCAUUUUUUGUACACUUUCCAAUUUUGUUAAUGGAUAUAUUUUGAUAAAAAGUAAACUUAUAAAUUUGGAAAACAAUUUUAUAUUUUUUUAUGAAUGAUUUUAAAUUCAUAUGUAAAUUGUGUUUAUUUUAUUAAAAACUUUAAUUUAUUACAUUUUAGAAAGUAUUUUUUGGAAAAAUGUAUCCAAAUACAUAAGCAUAAGUAGCAAUGUUUCUUUUGAUGAUGUUACAAAAUUAGAAGUUACCACUAGUACAGAAAUGACCUUUAAGGUCACCUCGUAGAUGUCGGACCACAAAAUAAUCAACGUAAAUUAUUGACCGGUGACAUUUUCGUAAAUAAGUUGGGUAUAUAGAUGUCUGUUAGGAGGAGCCCUCUAUAAUAUUAUAGACGUCGGGGCCCCUCCUAACGGACGUCUAUAUGCCUGACAGGUAGAUGAAUAGUCAUUAUUUUCCGCCAUAUAGACGUCUGAUCCCGCCAUCCCGACGUCUAUAUACGAUUAUCGACGUCGGCCCCAUGUAACAGAAGUCUAUAUGGCUGACAAGAUAGGUGAAAAGUUAACCUAGACGUCGGACACCCUCUUAACCGACGUCUAUAUGUCCUGCGAAUAUUAAUUUUUAAAUGAGAAAGACGUCAUAUUAGUGAGGGUCCCGACGUCUAUACUAUUAUAGACGUCAGUCCCCAUCAAUGCCCGACGUUUAUAGUCUAUUAUACUGGAAAACGCGAACCCGCGAGGAGUUACGCUCACUGUUCAUCGUCUUCCUCCUCGCGUUUUCUCUCCACGGCAUUGCAUUUUCAGUUUCUAGCGUGUUCUUGGGUGGCGUUUUUGACCAUUUUUGGCCUACGUUUUUGGGCGUGCACUCCUCCAUUUCCCUCCAUUGUUUUUUUAAUCUGCUAAAAAGCCGAUGCAUGAACCAAUCAUAGAUGAAGAUUAUGAGAUGGCUGAAGUGGAGGAUGAUCCUCUACCAAAGCUAAUGACAAGAUUAACCAGGUUGAAGAGAGGAGCACUAGAAAUAUAUUGGGAUUUGAGAGUAUUUGGUCUUCCCCCCAUGUGCUAUUAUAUAUCACAUUCAAUGAUGCAUUGGAGAUCAUUGGGGGAGACAUGAUAUUGAAUAUUUUCAUCCUUUAACUAUGAUGCAUGUACAUGGACACAAUCAUUGUAGACCAAGGUCGGUGUUCCAUGUACGAAUUUGUUGAACCUCAGACCAUUCAAUCUUCUGGUAACACAUUUAAAAGCAAACACUAUUAUUUACAAACAUGGAUGGCUGAGUCAAAUAGAGAUGUAUAUCUUGUGCCAUACAUUGAUGGGUCUCACUGGCAGCUGAUGAUCACCAUUCCCAGACAAUGUAGAAUUAUAUGGUUUUGUUCGCUGCACAGAAGAUGAAAAAUGACUUGAGAAACAUGCUUCAAGGAGUUAUGGGUAAAUCUCGAGGUCAACUAGUUCAAGUUUUGUAUCCAAAGUGUAACAAGCAGCUAGAUUCAUGGGAAUGUGACUUCUAUGUCAUGUCUUGGAUUAAGACUAUCAUUCGAGCUGCCAUUACAGAUGACUGGAAUGAGCGCUUCAAGAAUACAUCUCCUAUACUAGAGGACACAAUUAGGCUGAUAAGGCAAGAGUGAACAACUUAUCUUCUGCAAAGAUGGAGUUAGGAACACUUAUAUUUGUUGUUGAACAUACUUAGGAUUAGUUUAAUUUUAUAUUUUGAUAGUUUUGGUAUUGGAUUGUUUUUUAGAUUAAGUAGAACUUUCUUUAGUUGAA